UACGUAGGGUGCAAGCGUUACUCGGAAUUACUGGGCGUAAAGGGCUCGUAGGUGGCCAACUAAGUCAGACGUGAAAUCCCUCAGCUUAACUGGGGAACUGCGUCUGAUACUGGAUGGCUUGAGUUUGGGAGAGGGAUGCGGAAUUCCAGGUGUAGCGGUGAAAUGCGUAGAUAUCUGGAGGAACACCCGUGGCGAAGGCGGCUCUCUGGGACGGUACUGACGCUGAGACGCGAAAGCGUGGGGAGCGAACAGG
RNAcentral lists this ribosomal RNA (253 nucleotides) under uncultured bacterium. Its description in RNAcentral is "partial 16S ribosomal RNA". It matches the Rfam family "Bacterial small subunit ribosomal RNA", at positions 524 to 776 of the family's 1533-position model. The record is from RNAcentral.